RNAcentral lists this ribosomal RNA (468 nucleotides) under uncultured bacterium. RNAcentral describes it as "partial 16S ribosomal RNA". It matches the Rfam family "Bacterial small subunit ribosomal RNA", at positions 28 to 507 of the family's 1533-position model. The record is from RNAcentral.
GACGAACGCUGGCGGCGUGCUUAACACAUGCAAGUCGAACGGCAAGGCCCUGCUUUUGUGGGGUGCUCGAGUGGCGAACGGGUGAGUAACACGUGAGUAACCUGCCCUUGACUUUGGGAUAACUUCAGGAAACUGGGGCUAAUACCGGAUAGGAGCCCCUGCUGCAUGGUGGGGGUUGGAAAGUUUCGGCGGUUGUGGAUGGACUCGCGGAUUAUCAGCUUGUUGGUGGGGUAGUGGCUUACCAAGGCUUUGACGGGUAGCCGGCCUGUGAGGGUGACCGGCCACAUGGGUACUGAGAGACGGCCCAGACUCCAACGGGAGGCAGCAGUGGGGAAUAUUGCACAAUGGUCGGAAGCCUGAUACAGCGACGCCGCGGGCGGGAUGACGGCCUUCGGGUUGUGAACCGCUUUCGCCUGUGACGAAGCGUGAGUGACGGUAAUGGGUAAAGAAGCACCGGCUAACUACGUG